GACGAACGCUGGCGGCGUGCUUAACACAUGCAUGUCGAACGGAAAGGCCCUGCUUUUGUGGGGUGCUCGAGUGGCGAACGGGUGAGUAACACGUGAGUAACCUGCCCUUGACUUUGUGAUAACUUCAGGAAACUGGGGCUAAUACCGGAUAGGAGCUCCUGCUGCAUGGUGGGGGUUGGAAAGUUUCGGCGGUUGGGGAUGGACUCGCGGCUUAUCAGCUUGUUGGUGGGGUAGUGGCUUACCAAGGCUUUGACGGGUAGCCGGCCUGAGAGGGUGACCGGCCACAUUGGGACUGAGAUACGGCCCAGACUCCUACGGGAGGCAGCAGUGGGGAAUAUUGCACAAUGGGCGGAAGCCUGAUGCAGCAACGCCGCGUGCGGGAUGACGGCCUUCGGGUUGUAAACCGCUUUCGCCUGUGACGAAGCGUGAGUGACGGUAAUGGGUAAAGAAGCACCGGCUAACUACGUG
RNAcentral lists this ribosomal RNA (468 nucleotides) under uncultured bacterium. RNAcentral describes it as "partial 16S ribosomal RNA". It matches the Rfam family "Bacterial small subunit ribosomal RNA", at positions 28 to 507 of the family's 1533-position model. The record is from RNAcentral.